Long non-coding RNA from Chroicocephalus ridibundus (black-headed gull), 704 nucleotides. RefSeq lists it as uncharacterized. NCBI's taxonomy places the organism in Eukaryota, Metazoa, Chordata, Aves, Charadriiformes, Laridae. The record is from RefSeq and is a predicted model, not a curated record. The transcript has 2 exons.
CCCUGCCCGCUGUGUGUGAGGGGAGGAGAGGCGAGGCUGCCCCCACCUCAGCCCCCCGCCGCCCCUCAGCUCUCCCUCCGUCCUCCCACCCCUCCUCGGUGUGUGUGAGGGGAGGAGAGGCCAUCCGCGCCUCAGCCCCCCAGCUCGCCCUCCGCCGCAUGGCCGCGGCAGCAGGCCGAAGCUGCCCCUCCGUGAGGGAACCGCCAAUGGGAGGCUCACCGCGCUCCUGAGGGAAGGAAGGAAAGAGGACGGGCGAGGCUCAGCGAGAGCGGGCUGCCCCUGCGGCACCUCGCCCCCUUGCUCCUCGCCCCGGGGACCGGGGCUGAGCUGUAUACUGAAACCAGUAGAGGAAGCAAAGGAAAAUCCGCACUUAGUGCCGAGAAGACUCAAGAGGUCUACUUGCAAUAUGAGAGUGGAAAGUACUGCCCUGCGACCCUCCAUGUGAAAACCAGCUAGAAAGAUAAAAUGACGCCAUCCUUAAAAAUGCAAGUCUUUCACAGUAGUAGUUGAAAGCACAAAGUAUUACAGUGUUUGGUUUUUGGUGUUCUGGAUGACUUUUGUGACAUUUAUUUGUUUAUCCAUAACGGUACACCAUCAUCUUCUCUUUGAGGCUUAUUUUAGAAUAAAAUAAAAUACAAAAACAUCUGACAGACACCAUUGUACGUUAAAGCCUUCAUUAAAUGGUAUGGAAGAUGAAUAAUUUA